CCUCUGCUUGUAACACUGCAAAAUCUGAGAUCUCAGCAGAUGGCCUGCUGCUGCCUCUACACACAGGUGACACACGAGAGGACAGCCACUCAGUGCUCCGAAACUUUGCCCUCUUGCACAGAGCAACAGUUCCCGGAACUGCAUCCAGCGUGCCUUGAGGAUGAUCAUAGUUGUGGUUUCAGAGAUGCUCCAAUAGCAUUUAUAGAAUACUGUGAAAUUUACAGGUAAGCAUAGGAAUCUAUGCUUAAGAAAAUAUUCGUUUUGGACAAGUGAUCUAUCAGACAGAGUGACAGGAUUUGGAGAUGUGGGAGUGAGUUCAAAUAAUAAAGAAACAUCUCAUUGGGCAUUUU
This 350-nucleotide long non-coding RNA is filed under the name Ictidomys tridecemlineatus (thirteen-lined ground squirrel). RNAcentral describes it as "lncRNA (ENSSTOG00000031528.1)". Lineage: Eukaryota; Metazoa; Chordata; Mammalia; Rodentia; Sciuridae. The record is from RNAcentral.